GACGAACGCUGGCGGCGUGCCUAAUACAUGCAAGUCGAGCGAAGUUUUUCUGGUGCUUGCACUAGAAAAACUUAGCGGCGAACGGGUGAGUAACACGUAAAGAACCUGCCUCAUAGACUGGGACAACUAUUGGAAACGAUAGCUAAUACCGGAUAACAGCAUUAACUGCGUGGUUGAUGUUUAAAAGUUGGUUUUGCUAACACUAUGAGAUGGCUUUGCGGUGCAUUAGCUAGUUGGUGGGGUAAAGGCCUACCAAGGCGACGAUGCAUAGCCGACCUGAGGGGGGGAUCGGCCACACUGGGACUGAGACACGGCCAGACUCCUACGGGAGGCAGCAGUAGGGAAUCUUCCGCAAUGGGCGAAAGCCUGACGGAGCAACGCCGCGUGAGUGAAGAAGGAUUUCGGUUCGUAAAGCUCUGUUGUUAGGGAAGAAUGAUUGUGUAGUAACUAUACACAGUAGAGACGGUACCUAACCAGAAAGCCACGGCUAACUACGUG
Molecule: ribosomal RNA, 498 nt
Filed under: uncultured bacterium
Lineage: Bacteria
Description: partial 16S ribosomal RNA
Rfam family: Bacterial small subunit ribosomal RNA
Source: RNAcentral